This 859-nucleotide long non-coding RNA is filed under the name Monodelphis domestica (gray short-tailed opossum). RNAcentral's name for it is "lncRNA (ENSMODG00000028266.2)". The record is from RNAcentral. Lineage: Eukaryota; Metazoa; Chordata; Mammalia; Didelphimorphia; Didelphidae.
AUGGAGUCCCAGAGCCUGUGCAUCUCCUGCUUAGCACUAAUAAUGAUGCUUUUAGGUUUGAUCCAGAAGGAAUGGGUUAAGCUGAAGAUGACACCAUCAGGGAAAUACAUUUCCAGCAGCCCCUGGACCUCUUGUAUCCUCUUAGACUGCACCAAUGUUACACCAGCAGGAACCUGCCUGCUCUCAGCAAUCAUACUGUACUACCAAGACCUGAAGAACAAUAUCGAGAAACAAUACGUUGAUUUCAAAGUCACCUGGGUUUUUCAUUCAAAUUAUAUAAUUAUCUUUUUGUAUUAUGCCUGUGGUAAGUGUCCCCUACACCCCUGAGGUAAGAUCAGAGACAAUCCAUCUGUGGUUGGAGGUGAGGGGAUUGGGGGAACACAGGAGAAUCUUUCAUCCUAAAUUAUUGAAACUCAUCUAGAUUCAGUUCUAGGGGUAGCUUUUUCAGAGGGUAAGUUGGGGUGUGGGACUAUGGAAAAUACCAAUUCCUAGUGAAGAGUUUCAGAGAACAUCCUUCCCUUUGUCUUCCUCUAUUGUCCAUCACACUUUCCCCUCCAUCAUGACACAUCUGGCCAAGAAAGACAUGGCUAUAAGGAGUGUCUUUGAAGGAGAAAAAAAUGAGUGCUUUUUUUUUUUUAACACAUUCCUUCUUUCCUAGUAACAGCUUUACAACAGAAGGGCAAAGACUAGGCAAAUGAGGCUUUGACUUGCCCAUAUUCAGAUAGCUAGAAAGUAUCUGAAGUCACAUUUGAACCUAAGCCCUCCCAACUCCAAGUCUGAUAUUCUAUCCACUGUGCCACCUAACUACACCAAAAUGAAGGCAUUUAGAAACAAAAUAAAAAUAAUAAAAGUAGUGUCA